This 229-nucleotide long non-coding RNA is filed under the name Fukomys damarensis (Damara mole-rat). Its description in RNAcentral is "lncRNA (ENSFDAG00000030964.1)". Lineage: Eukaryota; Metazoa; Chordata; Mammalia; Rodentia; Bathyergidae. The record is from RNAcentral.
UACUAUACAUUAUUGAUAAUUUAUAUUUUUGUUCAAUAGUUACUUGGAAUAAUACCGGACUGAAGUUAUCCAUCUCCCUGAAUUUUAAAGAAUCGCCAAUAGUAAAAGUCAGUCAAUCUCAAAGAAUGCAAUCAGUACUAUUCUUCUGAUGGAGGAAGCAAUGGUUAUUGAGUAUAAAUUUACAUCCAGUAUUUGCUACAAUCACAUGGACUUCACAGCUACCCCAGCC